Molecule: transfer RNA, 68 nt
Filed under: Homopholis walbergii
Lineage: Eukaryota; Metazoa; Chordata; Lepidosauria; Squamata; Gekkonidae
Description: tRNA-His
Source: RNAcentral
UGAGCAUAGUUUAACCAAAACACUAAAUUGUGGAUUUAGUAACAGGGACCUACAACCCCUUGCACACC